AGAGUUUGAUCAUGGCUCAGGACGAACGCUGGCGGCACGCUUAACACAUGCAAGUCGAACGAGAGAAGAGGAGCUUGCUUUUCUGAUCUAGUGGCGGACGGGUGAGUAACACGUGAGCAAUCUGCCUUUCAGAGGGGGAUACCGAUUGGAAACGAUCGUUAAUACCGCAUAACAUAAUUGAACCGCAUGAUUUGAUUAUCAAAGAUUUAUCGCUGAAAGAUGAGCUCGCGUCUGAUUAGCUAGUUGGUAAGGUAACGGCUUACCAAGGCGACGAUCAGUAGCCGGACUGAGAGGUUGAUCGGCCACAUUGGGACUGAGACACGGCCCAGACUCCUACGGGAGGCAGCAGUGGGGAAUAUUGCACAAUGGAGGAAACUCUGAUGCAGCGAUGUCGCGUGAGGGAGGAAGGUUUUAGGAUUGUAAACCUCUGUCUUCAGGGACGAAAAAAGACGGUACCUGAGGAGGAAGCUCCGGCUAACUACGUGCCAGCAGCCGCGGUAAUACGUAGGGAGCGAGCGUUGUCCGGAAUUACUGGGUGUAAAGGGAGCGUAGGCGGGAUCGCAAGUCAGAUGUGAAAACUAUGGGCUUAACCCAUAAACUGCAUUUGAAACUGUGGUUCUUGAGUGAAGUAGAGGUAAGCGGAAUUCCUAGUGUAGCGGUGAAAUGCGUAGAUAUUAGGAGGAACAUCAGUGGCGAAGGCGGCUUAUUGGGCUUUAACUGACGCUGAGGCUCGAAAGCGUGGGGAGCAAACAGGAUUAGAUACCCUGGUAGUCCACGCCGUAAACGAUGAUUACUAGGUGUGGGGGGACUGACCCCUUCCGUGCCGCAGCAAACGCAAUAAGUAAUCCACCUGGGGAGUACGACCGCAAGGUUGAAACUCAAAGGAAUUGACGGGGGCCCGCACAAGCAGUGGAGUAUGUGGAUUAAUUCGAAGCAACGCGAAGAACCUUACCAGGUCUUGACAUCGUAUGCAUAGCUCAGAGAUGAGUGAAAUCUCUUCGGAGACAUAUAGACAGGUGGUGCAUGGUUGUCGUCAGCUCGUGUCGUGAGAUGUUGGGUUAAGUCCCGCAACGAGCGCAACCCUUACUGUUAGUUGCUACGCAAGAGCACUCUAGCAGGACUGCCGUUGACAAAACGGAGGAAGGUGGGGAUGACGUCAAAUCAUCAUGCCCCUUAUGACCUGGGCCUCACACGUACUACAAUGGCUGUCAACAGAGGGAAGCAAAGCCGCGAGGUGGAGCGAACCCCUAAAAGCAGUCUUAGUUCGGAUUGUAGGCUGCAACCCGCCUACAUGAAGUCGGAAUUGCUAGUAAUCGCAGAUCAGCAUGCUGCGGUGAAUACGUUCCCGGGCCUUGUACACACCGCCCGUCACGCCAUGGGAGUCGGUAACACCCGAAGCCUGUAGUCUAACCGCAAGGAGGACGCAGUCGAAGGUGGGAUUGAUGACUGGGGUGAAGUCGUAACAAGGUA
Molecule: ribosomal RNA, 1470 nt
Filed under: metagenome
Description: bacterial SSU rRNA
Rfam family: Bacterial small subunit ribosomal RNA
Source: RNAcentral